GACGAACGCUGGCGGCGUGCUUAACACAUGCAAGUCGAACGAUGAAGCCGGAGCUUGCUCUGGUGAAUUAGUGGCGAACGGGUGAGUAACACGUGAGUAACCUGCCCUUGACUCUGGGAUAACUGCGGGAAACUGUAGCUAAUACCGGAUACGACCCUCGGAGGCAUCUCCUGGGGGUGGAAAGAAUUUCGGUCAAGGAUGGACUCGCGGCCUAUCAGCUAGUUGGUGAGGUAAAGGCUCACCAAGGCGACGACGGGUAGCCGGCCUGAGAGGGUGACCGGCCACACUGGGACUGAGACACGGCUCAGACUCCUACGGGAGGCAGCAAUGGGGAAUAUUUCACAAUGGGCGCAAGCCUGAUGCAGCAACGCCGCGUGAGGGAUGACGGCCUUCGGGUUGUAAACCUCUUUUAGUAGGGAAGAAGCGAAAGUGACGGUACCUGCAGAAAAAGCACCGGCUAACUACGUGCCAGCAGCCGCAGUAA
RNAcentral lists this ribosomal RNA (484 nucleotides) under uncultured bacterium. RNAcentral's name for it is "partial 16S ribosomal RNA". It matches the Rfam family "Bacterial small subunit ribosomal RNA", at positions 28 to 523 of the family's 1533-position model. The record is from RNAcentral.